GCCCGGCUAGCUCAGUCAGUAGAGCGUGAGACUCUUAACUUCAGGGUUGUGGGUUCAAGCCCCAUGUUGGGUG
RNAcentral lists this transfer RNA (73 nucleotides) under Ailuropoda melanoleuca (giant panda). It matches the Rfam family "tRNA". Rfam says of the family: Transfer RNA (tRNA) molecules are approximately 80 nucleotides in length. The record is from Rfam by way of RNAcentral. Lineage: Eukaryota; Metazoa; Chordata; Mammalia; Carnivora; Ursidae.